UCGACGAGUCGAGUAGUUUGGGAAUGCUGCUCAAAAUGGGAGGUAUAUGUCUUCUAAAGCUAAAUACCGGCCAGAGACCGAUAGCGCACAAGUAGAGUGAUCGAAAGAUGAAAAGCACUUUGAAAAGAGGGUUAAAAAGUACGUGAAAUUGUUGAAAGGGAAGCGCCUAUGACCAGACUUGGGCCCGGUGAAUCAUCCAGCGUUCUCGCUGGUGCACUUUGCCGGGCACAGGCCAGCAUCAGUUUGUCUUGGGGGAAAAAGGCUUUGGGAAUGUGGCUCCCUCGGGAGUGUUAUAGACCAUUGCAUAAUACCCUGGGACGGACUGAGGUUCGCGCAUCUGCAAGGAUGCUGG
Molecule: ribosomal RNA, 352 nt
Filed under: Simplicillium obclavatum
Lineage: Eukaryota; Fungi; Ascomycota; Sordariomycetes; Hypocreales; Cordycipitaceae
Description: partial large subunit ribosomal RNA
Rfam family: Eukaryotic large subunit ribosomal RNA
Source: RNAcentral